Phasianus colchicus (ring-necked pheasant) is the source of this 606-nucleotide long non-coding RNA. RefSeq lists it as uncharacterized. The record is from RefSeq and is a predicted model, not a curated record. NCBI's taxonomy places the organism in Eukaryota, Metazoa, Chordata, Aves, Galliformes, Phasianidae.
CGCAUGGCCGUGUCCUGCUUUGGAGUUGCAACGUGCUGCUCUUCAGCAUGGCACCAGCAUGGGAUCGGCUCUGCUAACUCCCGAGGAGGCAGAUCAGAAUGUGCUGAUGAAGAAGAUCCCAAAAUCUACAGGCAGGAAGAUGAAAAGGCAGCAAUGUCACAGAAACCAUAGAAUCCAUUAUGUUACAUAGGUUUUACAUCAGCAUCUGUUGUCACUACCAGGACCAGCACUGGUGCUCCACACUUCUCAGAGUUGCCCUUUUGAUUUUAGAAAGCUCAACUGUUUAUCUGUUGAAGGAACUAACAUAUGGAAGGCACAUCUCAGACACAGAGCUGUAUUUUGAUAGAAUCGCAUUGGAUAAUGUGGAAGAAGAUGCCAUGGGACAGGUGAUCCUAGAGAAGCAAAACUGCUGGAUUACAGUUAAUGGCUUAAUAACUUUUGUGUAUGCGAGAAGAUCCUGAUAUUUUCUUCUAGUCUAUGGAUAUAUCUCUUGUUUGCUUAUUUUGUACUAACAAAAACAUGAAAAUUUCAAUUUGUGGUCCUACAGAUCUUCAACUAAGAAUCAACAAAUGGAUUAAAAUUCAUCCACAUCUGUUGUUUCCAGAA